This 693-nucleotide ribosomal RNA is filed under the name uncultured bacterium. RNAcentral describes it as "bacterial SSU rRNA". It matches the Rfam family "Bacterial small subunit ribosomal RNA", at positions 369 to 1074 of the family's 1533-position model. The record is from RNAcentral.
CAAUGGGCCCAAGCCUGACCCAGCAACGCCGCGUGAAGGAAGAAGGCUUUCGGGUUGUAAACUUCUUUUGUCAGGGAACAGUAGAUGAGGGUACCUGACGAAUAAGCUCCGGCUAACUACGUGCCAGCAGCCGCGGUAAUACGUAGGGAGCGAGCGUUGUCCGGAUUUACUGGGUGUAAAGGGCGUGUAGGCGGGAUUACAAGUCAGAUGUGAAAUUCCGGGGCUCAACCCCGGAACUGCAUUUGAAACUGUAGUUCUUGAGUACUGGAGAGGCAGGCGGAAUUCCUAGUGUAGCGGUGAAAUGCGUAGAUAUUAGGAGGAACACCAGUGGCGAAGGCGGCCUGCUGGACAGCAACUGACGCUGAGGCGCGAAAGCGUGGGGAGCAAACAGGAUUAGAUACCCUGGUAGUCCACGCUGUAAACGAUGGAUACUAGGUGUGCGGGGACUGACCCCCUGCGUGCCGCAGUUAACACAAUAAGUAUCCCACCUGGGGAGUACGAUCGCAAGGUUGAAACUCAAAGGAAUUGACGGGGGCCCGCACAAGCGGUGGAUUAUGUGGUUUAAUUCGAAGCAACGCGAAGAACCUUACCAGGGCUUGACAUCCUACUAACGAGGUAGAGAUACGUUAGGUGCCCUUCGGGGAAAGUAGAGACAGGUGGUGCAUGGUUGUCGUCAGCUCGUGUCGUGAGAUG